GUCUACAGCCAUGCCACCCUGAACAAGCCCAAUGUCUGAUCUUGGAAGCUAAGCAGGGUCAGGCCUGGUUAGUACAUGGAUGGAAGACCACUUAGGAAUACCAGGUGUUGUGGGAG
Molecule: ribosomal RNA, 116 nt
Filed under: Pteropus alecto (black flying fox)
Lineage: Eukaryota; Metazoa; Chordata; Mammalia; Chiroptera; Pteropodidae
Source: RNAcentral